Molecule: transfer RNA, 94 nt
Filed under: Ipomoea nil (Japanese morning glory)
Lineage: Eukaryota; Viridiplantae; Streptophyta; Magnoliopsida; Solanales; Convolvulaceae
Rfam family: tRNA
About the family: Transfer RNA (tRNA) molecules are approximately 80 nucleotides in length. Their secondary structure includes four short double-helical elements and three loops (D, anti-codon, and T loops).
Source: Rfam by way of RNAcentral
CUUACUUUAGCUCAGUUGGUAGAGUGGUGGACUGUAGUUGGACUAAUCUAAAUUGGAAAUCCUUAGGUCGCUGGUUUGAUUCCGGCAGGUCGGA